This 28-nucleotide small RNA is filed under the name Bombyx mori (domestic silkworm). RNAcentral describes it as "ovarian small RNA-18058". The record is from RNAcentral. Lineage: Eukaryota; Metazoa; Arthropoda; Insecta; Lepidoptera; Bombycidae.
UAAAAGUGGGGGAUGCGAUGAUCUGAUU